Long non-coding RNA from Cyanistes caeruleus (blue tit), 646 nucleotides. Lineage: Eukaryota; Metazoa; Chordata; Aves; Passeriformes; Paridae. The record is from Ensembl.
AAGAGCUGUACAAUUAGAGGCAAGCUAGAUAGAAGAGCACACAAGAUAGAGUGAAAUUGGAAAGCAGCAUAUUUGCAUCAGAUAAGAACCAAGAGGGUGCUGGGACAUAGGUUCUCUCCGUCUUCAGGCAGAGAAAAUGCAUCCAAAAUCUACUUUUCAGGAGUGUAGCUGGAGAGUUUUUGUGCUGUGAACCAAACUUCCAGGAGCAAAAUAUCGAUACUGAAGAAUUUAAAUGGCAGAACCCAUCUCCCCACCCUGCAGUUUGCCUCAUGUGGAUGAAGAUGAGGAGAGCACUUGUUGCAGGCUCUUCCCUUUGGAAGCUCUUCAGUGUUAUAAAUCACAGCUCCAGCAAACUGGAUUGAAUUACAACUGAAUUGAAUGCACUUCUAUAGCACCUUCCCCCAGGGAUCUAAACCAAUUUUCUCACCAUUGCUAAAUGCUGAACUUCCCUUGUACCCUUGCAGACUUGACCAAGCACUGUGGGCUCCAGCUUCUGAAAAAAGGCACUUAGAAGUCAAUUCAGGCAGGGUUUGGUACAGCGUGCCCUGAGCCGUGAGUGAAGAGCUGCUCUAAUAACCUUAUUUAUGGUGGGAACACACGAGGGACCAGGUACAUGUGUACAGUGUGCACGUGGUGCUGCUGCAAG